CACGGGGGUUGCAAGCGUUGUCCGGAAUUACUAGGCGUAAAGGGCAGGUAGGCGGAUAGAUAAGUUUUUUGUCAAAGGCAACGGCUCACCCGUUGUACGGCAGGAGAUACUGUUUAUCUGGAAUGCGGUUGGGGAAGACAGAAUUCCUGGUGUAGCGGUGGAAUGCGCAGAGAUCAGGAGGAAUACCAAAGGCGAAGGCAGUCUUCUAAGCCGUUAUUGACGCUAAACUGCGAAGGUGUGGGUAUCAAACAGGAUUAGAUACCCUGGUAGUCCACACAGUAAACGAUAAUCACUAGGUGUCGGUGUCGUAGAGACUUCGGUGCCGUAGCUAACGCGAUAAGUGAUUCGCCUGGGGAGUACGAUCGCAAGGUUGAA
RNAcentral lists this ribosomal RNA (375 nucleotides) under uncultured bacterium. RNAcentral describes it as "bacterial SSU rRNA". It matches the Rfam family "Bacterial small subunit ribosomal RNA", at positions 524 to 898 of the family's 1533-position model. The record is from RNAcentral.